Molecule: ribosomal RNA, 499 nt
Filed under: uncultured bacterium
Lineage: Bacteria
Description: partial 16S ribosomal RNA
Rfam family: Bacterial small subunit ribosomal RNA
Source: RNAcentral
GACGAACGCUGGCGGCGUGCUUAACACAUGCAAGUCGAACGGGCCUGUCUUCUUUUUUGGGGGUGGGUUGAGUGGCGAACGGGUGAGUAUCACGUGAGUAACCUGCCCUUCGGUCCUGGAUAACCGCUUGAAAGGGCGGCUAAUACGGGUUGGUCCGGUUGGUCCGCAUGGGCUGGUCGGGAUAGAUUCACUGUUUUUGUUGUUUCGGCGGGUGAUGGGCUCGCGGCCUAUGAGCUUGUUGGUGGGGUGUUGGCCUACCAAGGCGGUGACGGGUAGCCGGACUGGGAGGGUGGGCGGCGACACUGGGACUGGGAUACGGCCCAGACUCAUGCGGGAGGCAGCAGUGGGGGGGAUUGCAGAAUGGGCGGAAGCCUGAUGGAGCGACGUCGCGUGAGGGAUGGAGGCCUUCGGGUUGUGAACCUCUGUUUCCGGUGGUGAAGGCCCUGUCCGUGUGGUGGGGUUGACGGUAGCCGGGGAUGAAGCGCCGGCUAACUACGUG